CACUAUCGUUAACUGAAUACAUAGGUUAACGAGGCGAACCGGGGGAACUGAAACAUCUAAGUACCCCGAGGAAAAGAAAUCAACCGAGAUUCCCCCAGUAGCGGCGAGCGAACGGGGAGCAGCCCAGAGUCUGAAUCAGCUUGUGUGUUAGUGGAACGGUCUGGAAAGUCCGACGGUACAGGGUGAUAGUCCCGUACACCAAAAUGCACAGGCUGUGAACUCGAAGAGUAGGGCGGGACACGUGGUAUCCUGUCUGAAUAUGGGGGGACCAUCCUCCAAGGCUAAAUACUCCUGACUGACCGAUAGUGAACCAGUACCGUGAGGGAAAGGCGAAAAGAACCCCGGCGAGGGGAGUGAAAAAGAACCUGAAACCGUGUACGUACAAGCAGUGGGAGCACCUUCGGGUGUGACUGCGUACCUUUUGUAUAAUGGGUCAGCGACUUAUAUUCUGUAGCAAGGUUAACCGUAUAGGGGAGCCGCAGGGAAACCGAGUCUUAACUGGGCGUUAAGUUGCAGGGUAUAGACCCGAAACCCGGUGAUCUAGCCAUGGGCAGGUUGAAGGUUGGGUAACACUAACUGGAGGACCGAACCGACUAAUGUUGAAAAAUUAGCGGAUGACUUGUGGCUGGGGGUGAAAGGCCAAUCAAACCGGGAGAUAGCUGGUUCUCCCCGAAAGCUAUUUAGGUAGCGCCUCGUGAAUUCAUCUUCGGGGGUAGAGCACUGUUUCGGCUAGGGGGUCAUCCCGACUUACCAACCCGAUGCAAACUACGAAUACCGAAGAAUGUUAUCACGGGAGACACACGGCGGGUGCUAACGUCCGUCGUGAAGAGGGAAACAACCCAGACCGCCAGCUAAGGUCCCAAAGUCAUGGUUAAGUGGGAAACGAUGUGGGAAGGCACAGACAGCCAGGAUGUUGGCUUAGAAGCAGCCAUCAUUUAAAGAAAGCGUAAUAGCUCACUGGUCGAGUCGGCCUGCGCGGAAGAUGUAACGGGGCUAAACCAUGCACCGAAGCUGCGGCAGCGACACUAUGUGUUGUUGGGUAGGGGAGCGUUCUGUAAGCCUGCGAAGGUGUGCUGUGAGGCAUGCUGGAGGUAUCAGAAGUGCGAAUGCUGACAUAAGUAACGAUAAAGCGGGUGAAAAGCCCGCUCGCCGGAAGACCAAGGGUUCCUGUCCAACGUUAAUCGGGGCAGGGUGAGUCGACCCCUAAGGCGAGGCCGAAAGGCGUAGUCGAUGGGAAACAGGUUAAUAUUCCUGUACUUGGUGUUACUGCGAAGGGGGGACGGAGAAGGCUAUGUUAGCCGGGCGACGGUUGUCCCGGUUUAAGCAUGUAGGCUGGUUGUCCAGGCAAAUCCGGAUAAUCAAGGCUGAGGUGUGAUGACGAGGCACUACGGUGCUGAAGUAACAAAUGCCCUGCUUCCAGGAAAAGCCUCUAAGCAUCAGGUAACAUCAAAUCGUACCCCAAACCGACACAGGUGGUCAGGUAGAGAAUACCAAGGCGCUUGAGAGAACUCGGGUGAAGGAACUAGGCAAAAUGGUGCCGUAACUUCGGGAGAAGGCACGCUGGUGUGUAGGUGAAGCCCCUGCGGGUGGAGCUGAGACCAGUCGAAGAUACCAGCUGGCUGCAACUGUUUAUUAAAAACACAGCACUGUGCAAACACGAAAGUGGACGUAUACGGUGUGACGCCUGCCCGGUGCCGGAAGGUUAAUUGAUGGGGUUAUCCGUAAGGAGAAGCUCUUGAUCGAAGCCCCGGUAAACGGCGGCCGUAACUAUAACGGUCCUAAGGUAGCGAAAUUCCUUGUCGGGUAAGUUCCGACCUGCACGAAUGGCGUAAUGAUGGCCAGGCUGUCUCCACCCGAGACUCAGUGAAAUUGAACUCGCUGUGAAGAUGCAGUGUACCCGCGGCAAGACGGAAAGACCCCGUGAACCUUUACUAUAGCUUGACACUGAACAUUGAGCCUUGAUGUGUAGGAUAGGUGGGAGGCUUUGAAGCGUGGACGCCAGUCUGCGUGGAGCCAACCUUGAAAUACCACCCUUUAAUGUUUGAUGUUCUAACGUUGGCCCCUUACCGGGGUUGCGGACAGUGUCUGGUGGGUAGUUUGACUGGGGCGGUCUCCUCCCAAAGCGUAACGGAGGAGCACGAAGGUUAGCUAAUCCUGGUCGGACAUCAGGAGGUUAGUGCAAUGGCAUAAGCUAGCUUGACUGCGAGCGUGACGGCGCGAGCAGGUGCGAAAGCAGGUCAUAGUGAUCCGGUGGUUCUGAAUGGAAGGGCCAUCGCUCAACGGAUAAAAGGUACUCCGGGGAUAACAGGCUGAUACCGCCCAAGAGUUCAUAUCGACGGCGGUGUUUGGCACCUCGAUGUCGGCUCAUCACAUCCUGGGGCUGAAGUAGGUCCCAAGGGUAUGGCUGUUCGCCAUUUAAAGUGGUACGCGAGCUGGGUUUAGAACGUCGUGAGACAGUUCGGUCCCUAUCUGCCGUGGGCGCUGGAGAAUUGAGGGGGGCUGCUCCUAGUACGAGAGGACCGGAGUGGACGCAUCACUGGUGUUCGGGUUGUCAUGCCAAUGGCACUGCCCGGUAGCUAAAUGCGGAAGAGAUAAGUGCUGAAAGCAUCUAAGCACGAAACUUGCCCCGAGAUGAGUUCUCCCUGAGACUUUAAGUCUCCUGAAGGAACGUUAAAGACGAUGACGUUGAUAGGCCGGGUGUGUAAGCGCAGCGAUGCGUUGAGCUAACCGGUACUAAUGAACCGUGAGGCUUAACCUU
Molecule: ribosomal RNA, 2758 nt
Filed under: Klebsiella pneumoniae
Lineage: Bacteria; Pseudomonadati; Pseudomonadota; Gammaproteobacteria; Enterobacterales; Enterobacteriaceae
Description: bacterial LSU rRNA
Rfam family: Bacterial large subunit ribosomal RNA
Source: RNAcentral